GCACCAAUGGUCUAAUGGUAGAAUAGUACUCUGCCAUGGUAUAGAAGUGGGUUCGAUUCCCAACUGGUGCA
Molecule: transfer RNA, 71 nt
Organism: Lupinus angustifolius (narrow-leaved blue lupine)
Lineage: Eukaryota; Viridiplantae; Streptophyta; Magnoliopsida; Fabales; Fabaceae
Rfam family: tRNA
About the family: Transfer RNA (tRNA) molecules are approximately 80 nucleotides in length. Their secondary structure includes four short double-helical elements and three loops (D, anti-codon, and T loops). Further hydrogen bonds mediate the characteristic L-shaped molecular structure. tRNAs have two regions of fundamental functional importance: the anti-codon, which is responsible for specific mRNA codon recognition, and the 3' end, to which the tRNAs corresponding amino acid is attached (by aminoacyl-tRNA synthetases). tRNAs cope with the degeneracy of the genetic code in two manners: having more than one tRNA (with a specific anti-codon) for a particular amino acid; and 'wobble' base-pairing, i.e. permitting non-standard base-pairing at the 3rd anti-codon position.
Source: Rfam